UACGGGGGGGGUAAGCGUUGUUCGGAAUUACUGGGCGUAAAGGGCUCGUAGGCGGCCAACUAAGUCAUACGUGAAAUCCCUCAGCUUAACUGGGGAACUGCGUGUGAUACUGGAUGGCUUGGAUUUGGGAGAGGGAUGCGGAAUUCCAGGUGUAGCGGUGAAAUGCGUAGAUAUUCGGAAGAACACCAGUGGCGAAGGCGGCUCACUGGACUGGUAUUGACGCUGAGGUGCGAAAGCGUGGGGAGCAAACAGG
This 253-nucleotide ribosomal RNA is filed under the name uncultured bacterium. RNAcentral describes it as "partial 16S ribosomal RNA". It matches the Rfam family "Bacterial small subunit ribosomal RNA", at positions 524 to 776 of the family's 1533-position model. The record is from RNAcentral.